GUGGCUAUUUUGUGUUUUCUGUGUUGGAAAUUAAGUCCUACAUGAAUGAAAAAUAUUUAACUUAAUGAGAAUUACAUAUAAGAUGAAUUUAGCCAAAGAAUUUUUUUAACAUCAUUAGGUUUGAAGCAAUGAAUAAAAUAAGUAUCUCUCUCUCGUGAGAUGACUUUAAUUUACUUAGCAUAUCUUCUGGACAUUCCGCCCUGCAGCUUCGGCAAUCAACGCAAUAUGGGUUGCUAGGAUGAUAUUGUCCUUGUGCAAAUGAGAGAAAUCAAGAAUGUGUGACCAUCAUAUUAUAAUUUGGACAGCAAUGCAUUCAUUUUCUAGGGUUAAAUUUGUUUUAUACCCUUUUUUGUUCCCUAAAAACUGAAAUUUAAUCAAUCAAUAUCCUACUUUUCCUUCUAACAUGUAAAUUUCUAUCAGACACUACCUAAACGACAUUAAAUUUCUAUCAUACACUACCUCAACCACAUUCACCUUGUGAUCAUGUUGAUUGCUAUAUAGAAUGAACUUUAUAAUGUCAAAAUCUAUACUUGAAAUUGUUAACUUAUCAUCUGACAUGUGAUGUUGG
This 568-nucleotide unclassified non-coding RNA is filed under the name Hevea brasiliensis (rubber tree). Lineage: Eukaryota; Viridiplantae; Streptophyta; Magnoliopsida; Malpighiales; Euphorbiaceae. The record is from RNAcentral.